UAUCGUUCUCUCUCUUCCUUUAGAGAGAGAGAAUUCUCUCUUCUUCCCCUCUUAUCACACUCAAAUCUUUCAGAGGGGGAAAGAGAGUUAUGUUAUUUCUUUUUGAUGUAAAAUAAUCCUUUUGAUCCAAAGAUCGACUUUUGAUUCCGGUUGCGGAUUUCAGUCUUCGCAAGGCGACUUUUUCUUCUGAUCUUUGUUAGAUCAGACUUUUCACUUCGCUUGGCGAGCUUUUGUUGUGUGUUCUGUUUAAAAAAGUUCAUCUCUCUGUUUUAAUCAAUUUUACUGAUUGCUUUCUAAGAGUUUCUUCCUUGUGUCGGUUAUCCUCUAUCUUCGUUCCCCAAGAUAUAAAUUUUUGUCUUAUUAUAAAUGAAUUGGCAAAGUCUUCGUAAAGGGUGAAGAUUAGAGCUUUGCAUGUUUGCUCUUACGGUUUAGUACAUCAUCAGAUAAGUCAAAGCUUGUUCUACAAGUGUUUUGACAAGAGCUGUGUCUGAAUCUUAUAGAGCUUCUUUGUAUUCUCCACAUCCGGCGAAGAGAGUGAACCUCGGAGAAAGCAUCAGCGACCUGAGAGAUGGAAAGUUACAAAAGGAACCAAGUCUCCGUUGCUGUGCUAUACCCAAGAGUUUGAUCUACCGGAAAUUCACAUUUACGGCAGUUUUCCGGUGAAGAAGCAACGAUGUUCGUCUGCGCAACACAUCAUCCUCUAGUUAAGCUUAACUGAAGACACGUGUAGAUCCAUGGUGUACCGUGUAAUUAUGUUUGUUCUUAAUCUUAUCUUGGAAAGUUGGGCUUCACUUGGGAUUAAAUUCUUAAUGGACUUAUUUGAUUCCUUUUUGUAACAUGUUAGGCUUUGAGCCUUAUAAAACGAAUUGACA
RNAcentral lists this long non-coding RNA (872 nucleotides) under Brassica napus (rape). RNAcentral describes it as "long non-coding RNA (BNAP_LNC014126)". The record is from RNAcentral. Lineage: Eukaryota; Viridiplantae; Streptophyta; Magnoliopsida; Brassicales; Brassicaceae.